RNAcentral lists this long non-coding RNA (591 nucleotides) under Salvia miltiorrhiza (redroot sage). RNAcentral describes it as "long non-coding RNA (SMIL_LNC012197)". The record is from RNAcentral. Lineage: Eukaryota; Viridiplantae; Streptophyta; Magnoliopsida; Lamiales; Lamiaceae.
CAACUCGUUUCAUUGUCGUUGCUGUGCUUCUUCAUCUCAUCAUCACAGUUUCGCCAAAUCGCGCCGUCGUCUAGAGCCACUAUACCCCAUCGCGAUGCGUCUCCGUCCAACGCGCUUGAAUCGUACCACCAUCGUUGUUGAUUUCCAUGCUACAAGUCUACAACCACCAAUUUUGGUCUUGGUAAGGUAACCACCAAAUAGUUGUCUUGCCAUUCUUCUUCUUCAUUUUGAUAUCAUUAUUUUCAUGGAAACUUAUAUAUAUAGAUUAAUGGUUAAUACAAUUCUUAACCAAUCUAUUUUCGUUGAAUACAGGCAACAAACAACAUAUGCUGGUGAAGAAGUGAAGUGUUGGAGAAGAAGAAGAAAAUUGAACAAAUUUGUUGAAGAAGAAGAAGAAGAAAAUGAUCAAUGGAUAAAAGAAAAAGAGAUAGAGGAAUAAGAAAUUAAUCGAAUAAAACAAAUAAGACGGAAAGAAAGAACUCUCACAAGUAAAAAGAAGAAAAGAAAAAGAAAAUAAGAAAAGAAUUUUAUUCAUACGAAAUUUUGUAUGUUUUUAAAUUAUUUUGAUAUAAAAUUUGAAAAUAAAUCAAA